Molecule: long non-coding RNA, 5388 nt
Organism: Ictidomys tridecemlineatus (thirteen-lined ground squirrel)
Lineage: Eukaryota; Metazoa; Chordata; Mammalia; Rodentia; Sciuridae
Source: RefSeq, a predicted model, not a curated record
CUGGGGCCUGUCUCCCAGCAUGCUCUCUGCUGCCCAAUUCCUAGCAACGUGGGGGGGAGGCGACCUCAGCAGGAGCCUAAGAGUCAGAGCCAAGCUCCUGUGCCUCUGGGGAGAGAAGGAUCAGCACAUGGUGCUGGGUUCUGCCUCUCUCCAGCGCUGGGCUGUGGCUUUCCUCUGACAGAGCCCUCAGGACUGGGCUGGGCUGUGACCUCCCUGGAGCCACGGUGCCACGGCUCCCAUUGUUCUGGGCACUCAGCAACCCUCAGCAGACAGGGUUCCCACGGCAGUAAGUUCCCUUAAGUAGAAAUAGACGCAGGAAGAUAAGCUGAGCAGAGUGCUGAGGGCAAGCCAAGUUCCGCGAAUUCCCCGCUGGCCGGCAGCCAGCCUGGUAGCCCGCUGUGUCACCUUCUCACACACCACCCCAGGCCCUGACCCUGGCCCUGCAAUGUUAAUGGAAGAAUGGAUGAACUGUGACUGCGCAGCCGUUUCCCAUAUCGGAGGCAGAAGUGACUUGUAAGAGCCCAUCACUCAAGUCUGUGCGAGGCCCUGAAACUCCUCCAAGGGUUUCCAUGGAGCUGAACCUGCUCUGUGGAUGUGUUGCACGUGGUCUGGGAACCUUGCUGGAGGUCUGGUACUGAUGAGCAGACCUCGUGGUGGUGGACAUCGGAGAUAAGAAGCAGAUGGAGAGUGGAGCACGGGUCAACAUAUACCUCAUACAACAUGUCCUGUCACUAAACAGCCUGUGGCGUGACAGUGUCACCACCUAUGACCCAUCCUCCUUCCAAAGGUACGGCGUGAGCAAAGCCCCGCUGUUCCCAGUCUGCUCCGCUCCCGCCUGCAACCAGGUGAGAGUCCUGCUGUCCACGUCCAGGUUCAGGCCAGCAGUCGGGACCAGGCAUCAAGGCAGGAAGCAGCUUCUCUGGAUGGAAAGACCUGGCACAAGAUAGAGGGCAAACACCUCCCUAAAACAGAGGCCCUGGCCCAUUUUGGAAAAACACACGUUGCGGAGACUACCACAAAGGCCCUAAGAAGAUCCAGAGCAUCUAGUGAGAGGUGUUCACUGUCCUGGAAGCAAUUCCAGGCCUUUCAGGCAAGGUCCCACGCUACUUCAGUGAGUUUUAAGUUGUACCAAGCUACUGAUGACGUGCACUUAAUGUUUAGAGAUCAUAAUUGAAUUAGGUGCUUUAAAAGCAAAAUGGUAGGUAUCAGACAAUCUGGAUUUCUGCUCCAACUUUGUAAGUGGUGGACAAUGUGAUGUUUAUCCCCAUGAGCCCCGAUUUCCACAGAGUAGUCAUUGUUGGUCACAGCAAUGCAAAUGCAGGUUUAGAGAGGCUAGGUGAUUUUCUUAAGGACACCAGCCAGUAAAAUACACACAUCACCUCAUUUAAUUCCCACAACCACCGCGGGGCCAUAGAUGCAGAGACUGAGGGUUUGAGGGUUGGCCUGGCUGGGUCAAGAACGAGCUGGGGCUGUGUUUGGGGAAUUUUCUGUCUGACUCCAAAGUCCUUAGACGUUCAGAAGCACAAGCACACCUCCCGACUCUGCAAGUCUCUUACUGAUUGGAGGAUCGUAGCGGGCAGGAGCCCAGGGACAGGCAAAUCUCUGAAGGAAGAAGUGGAUUGUGCCUUCCUUACAGGAGCUAAGAGCGCUUUGCUCCCAGACAACGGGUUCCCAGUACUGAGAGUGACUUGGAGGGAAGGAAGGUCAGCGGGAGCCCUAGAGCUGCCAACCCGCUCUCCCCACGGCCUUCUUGCCCUCAGAAGUCCUCCUGCGUGGAUUCGAUGACUUCUUUGGCUCAGCCCACACCACGGCCUGAUCAGCACCUCUCCCCUGCCCCUGACACUGGACGUCCGGCUGGCUGCCCUGCCCUUCCUGAGCCAUGAGCUGGUGGUGGGUCUCCCUCUUCAGAGCCCUGGUCUGCCGGGUUCAGACAGACACAGCGGGUACGCCUGCUUUCCACUGCGGUGGUGAAGGCCCCCAAGGCUGGGCAGGACCUCGUCCAGAGCACAGACCCUGUGUGAGGGACCCUCAGAUCCCUCCAGUCUGCAAAGUUAAUGACCAUAAGCACAGGAUGGAGGAGAGCGUAAGAACAAGGCCCACGUCCCCACGUGGAUCUGGGUCAGGACCACAGAGCUUGCAGUAAUGUCUCGUUUCACUGCCUUCGCAACUGUACUUCCCUGGGGCUCCACCUCCUAAUCUGUGGUGUGACUGCUCCCAGGCCUUCCCGUCCUGGGAUUCCUGGUUUUGGCGAUGGUCAGUUUGCCUUUUAAAUUCCAGGUGUACUCCACAGCCUUCGGUUUUAUGUGCCUGUUAGCCUUUCAUUUUGAAGAAGCUUCACACUUACCUAAGAGCUUUAAAGACAACCCACGAGAUUGAUGUCUGCCCUCCAUCCUCGCUGCCCUGGGGGCUACCUUUCAGAACCUGGGGGUGUUUGUGCCUCAUAAGGAAGUAGCCAGCCCAAUCUUCAGACUUCACUGGGAUUUCACCAGUUUUUCUACUAAUGCCCUUUUUCUGUUCCAGGAUUCAAACCAGAUGCCAUGUGACAUUUGGUCUUUAAAGCUUUUGAAAUAAAGAGUUUAGUGGUCUACUUUUUAAAUUAUGGAGACAUGAAGACCAUGGGAGAAUGCAAACUGAAUCAGGGACACAUCCUGCGGCAGGAACAUGCGUUGGCGAUCCCCCUGGUGUGUCUCUGAGAUCCUCAGGAGGUCUUCAAAGACCAUUCUGCAUCUUGGCACAUGUGGAAAACCAAAAUGAGGUGUGAACCAUAAAGCCAAGCUCUUGUUGUAGACACACACGGGAAGGCUGGGAAUCAAAGACAGAGCAAAGUGACCUCCUUCACGGGAACCUUGCAGGGAAUGGGGGCCGGGGUUGGAAUUGGGAGCACCUCCAGCACUGAGGAGACUUAUCCAUCACCGUGUGCUCACGGGGCCAAGGACACCAGCACCCCCUGGGCCAUACGGCUACUGCAGUAGAGGAAGCUUAGAGGGUGGGCAGUGCUGACCUAGGGAAGGCAGGGCCCUGCACUGACUCACAACCAGGAAGGGGAGGCUGACCGGGGCGGCGCAGAGCCUUGGACUUCACUACAGUCACCUGUGGAAACCAGGUUCCCGCCUGACAAGUCCAGCUUCCCAUUCGCCUGGAAGCCGACACAGCCCUGAGGGGCAGUUUCCCUGCUUCUCCUCUCAUUGUCUGAACUGUCGUGGGCGAAUUCAUAAAUUCAGCUCUGGUAUAAACGGGGCCCCUACACAGGACACUCUUCCUCCAAAUUCAGUUCUGUGAGAUCUGCCUUGCCCGAAAGAGGCCUCAUCAAACGCCUCAUUCACUAGAUCUUUCUGAGCUGCCACUGGUAGGAAGUCAUGAGCCAGGCAUGGGUCUAGUUGCAGACUGGUUUUAGAGCGCUCGGUACCUUUUCCUGUAACAUCCCCGUAACGCCCUCUACCGACAUGUGAGGAGGGUAUCCUCUCCUCCUCUCUCUUCCUGUGCCAGGGAAAGAAGCAGAAGAUAGAGGCGUGGAGGCAAAGGCAAGCAGAAUGCAAUGGUUCUCCCUGCCCUGACUCCAUGUUCUGUCAGUUCUCUGAGGCCGCGGAGCUGAGAGAUGACACAACAGGAGCCGUGAGUCCAGGCUCCCUGAUCCCAGCCCAGAGCUCCUUCCACCACACGGCAUCCCAGCCUCCCUAGAACAUUCCAGCUUUGUCUUGAUUUACACAGGACCGUGCCAACCCAAGUCAGCGAACAUCCCCUGGAGUAGCUCAGGCCUGCCCUCAGUAGCCCACCUCCUGGCCAUCAUUGUGGUGGAGGUGGGCGUCUGGGCCUGGGAAUCCGGCAUCCCAAGACAGGGUUUUCAGCAGAGAAACAGGAGGAACCGUGGCUUUACUGGCUCGGGGCUCUGAUGGCAGUGUCCUUUAGAUGGUGCCCCAUUAUUAGCAAGGUUCUCCCGCAGGUCCUGGACACUGUUGUCACAACUCUCCCCCUCUUAAAAUAAAACGUACGCUGAUUUGCUUAUGUAAGGUGGCCAAGUUGCACACAAGCAUAGACGCUUCCCCCAGAAAGGACAAGAGCUGGCAGCCAAUGGGCAGACGUGAUUGCUCCCCAGCCUGUGAGCAAUUUCUUUCCUUUCAAAUAUUUCACUGAGACUGGAGUCUGAGCUCAAAGUCAUGAUCAUCUGAAAAAAUACCUGGGGGUUAAUUGGCAUCUGUCUGGGGCGGCCAAGUCCCAUGGAAAAGAGGCUGUUCUGCAUGUUCAGCCUGUGAUUAGCAGAGGGGGAGAAGGUCAAGAGCAGGUGGAAGGGAGAAAGGAAGGGUCACUGGGCCCUGCACACCAGAGUGCGGAGAGGAGGAGGGGAGAUGGCGGUCAGCUUGUCUCUGGACUCCCAGGGGCCAAACCAAACCUGUGACGUCCUCUCCUUCCUCUUUGCUUGGGGGUUCCUGACAAACCAGCCGUGAGUUGGCACAUUGAAGACUAGACAUCGUUGGCUUCCCUCUCUGGCAGGGAGGACAAAAGGAUCCGCAGACAGCAAGAAAGGCAGGGCACUUCCAGGCUGCGCCGUGCCUCCCUGGGCCGCAGAGCUUGCCCGGCUGAGUGCCCGUUUCCAAUGAGCUGGGAGCCUGAGAGUGGAGCCCUGGGCCAAGGUCAUGUGGCACAUGGUCACUAGCACCAGGAUCCAUGCCCAGUCCUCCCAACUCAGUGCAGGGCUGUCCUGCUGCGCUUGAGGAGCUCGGCUGAGUGCUCCUGUUCGGCUGCCCUACAAAGGCUGUCAGAACGAGGCCCUAACCACAUGAGGGGCCUGAACCGGAGGCCUGGAGGGACAGUGUAACUAGGUCAUUUCCGUGCUGCGUGCCGGCAGCGAGCCUGGCUGUGGGGAGUGCUGGACUCUGUCCUGUCCACAAGCAGGCCUGAUCUUGGAGCCAGCCAUCGGUCUGAAGGGGUUUGGGAUCGUUAAAUCUGCCUGCCGGAGGCAGAGGGAUGGACGAGGAAGGCCACUAGGGCUGUGCAGGCAGCCUCUGGGCCCAACUCCCUGCCCACAGCUGUCCCUGCCCACCCUUCCCCAGGCCAGCAGGGCCCCUGCUCAGCUGCAGUAACCAGGCUGGCCCUUCAGGCUGGCCCUGAGCUAGAGAUCCGCCUCACCCAGGAUGAAGGGCUAGCCUGGCCCCAGUCCUGUGGCCCAGGCUCUGCAGACAGAGGGUGAGCUUCAGGGCCAGGGCCCUCGCUGGGUGGCAGGAGUGCCUCUCGGAGCCUGUUACUGCAGUUAAGCACAUCAUCUUGGGAGCUAAGACUUUCUGGAUCCAAAUCUCAGCUUCCCAGCUGAGGAGAAGCACCAGUUCUAAGACCACAGUUUGUCUAUGGAACGAUUCAUGGAUUUGUUUGGAGCAUUAAAUGAGAUAAUCCAUA